GGAACGUUAGUUCAGUGGUGAGAACAGCCGUCUCAUAAGCGGAAAGUCCGGGGUUCGAUUCCCCGACGUUCCA
This 73-nucleotide transfer RNA is filed under the name Bacteriophage sp. RNAcentral's name for it is "tRNA-Met". It matches the Rfam family "tRNA". From Rfam's summary of the family: Transfer RNA (tRNA) molecules are approximately 80 nucleotides in length. Their secondary structure includes four short double-helical elements and three loops (D, anti-codon, and T loops). The record is from RNAcentral.